RNAcentral lists this ribosomal RNA (537 nucleotides) under uncultured bacterium. Its description in RNAcentral is "bacterial SSU rRNA". It matches the Rfam family "Bacterial small subunit ribosomal RNA", at positions 56 to 590 of the family's 1533-position model. The record is from RNAcentral.
UGCAAGUCGAACGGUAACAUUUCUAGCUUGCUAGAAGAUGACGAGUGGCGGACGGGUGAGUAAUGCUUGGGAACUUGCCUUUGCGAGGGGGAUAACAGUUGGAAACGACUGCUAAUACCGCAUAAUGUCUUCGGACCAAACGGGGCUUCGGCUCCGGCGCAAAGAGAGGCCCAAGUGAGAUUAGCUAGUUGGUAAGGUAACGGCUUACCAAGGCGACGAUCUCUAGCUGUUCUGAGAGGAAGAUCAGCCACACUGGGACUGAGACACGGCCCAGACUCCUACGGGAGGCAGCAGUGGGGAAUAUUGCACAAUGGGGGAAACCCUGAUGCAGCCAUGCCGCGUGUGUGAAGAAGGCCUUCGGGUUGUAAAGCACUUUCAGUUGUGAGGAAAAGUUAGUAGUUAAUACCUGCUAGCCGUGACGUUAACAACAGAAGAAGCACCGGCUAACUCCGUGCCAGCAGCCGCGGUAAUACGGAGGGUGCGAGCGUUAAUCGGAAUUACUGCGCGUAAAGCGCACGCAGGCGGUUUGUUAAGCUA